GGCGGACGGGUGAGUAACGCGUGAGGAACCUGCCUUUCAGAGGGGGACAACAGUUGGAAACGACUGCUAAUACCGCAUGACACAUAGAGAUCGCAUGGUUUUUAUGUCAAAGAUUUAUCGCUGAAAGAUGGCCUCGCGUCUGAUUAGCUAGUUGGUGAGGUAACGGCCCACCAAGGCGACGAUCAGUAGCCGGACUGAGAGGUUGACCGGCCACAUUGGGACUGAGAUACGGCCCAGACUCCUACGGGAGGCAGCAGUGGGGAAUAUUGGGCAAUGGGCGCAAGCCUGACCCAUCAACGCCGCGUGAAGGAAGAAGGCUUUCGGGUUGUAAACUUC
RNAcentral lists this ribosomal RNA (336 nucleotides) under uncultured bacterium. RNAcentral describes it as "bacterial SSU rRNA". It matches the Rfam family "Bacterial small subunit ribosomal RNA", at positions 97 to 433 of the family's 1533-position model. The record is from RNAcentral.